GACUCCCAGUGAUAAACUGGAGGAAGGGGGGGAUGACGUCAAGUCAUCAUGGCCCUUACGAGUAGGGCUACACACGUGCUACAAUGGCGCAUACAAAGAGAAGCGACCUCGCGAGAGCAAGCGGACCUCAUAAAGUGCGUCGUAGUCCGGAUUGGAGUCUGCAACUCGACUCCAUGAAGUCGGAAUCGCUAGUAAUCGUAGAUCAGAAUGCUACGGUGAAUACGUUCCCGGGCCUUGUACACACCGCCCGUCACACCAUGGGAGUGGGUUGCAAAAGAAGUAGGUAGCUUAACCUUCGGGAGG
Molecule: ribosomal RNA, 303 nt
Filed under: Enterobacter sp. Y-A60
Lineage: Bacteria; Pseudomonadati; Pseudomonadota; Gammaproteobacteria; Enterobacterales; Enterobacteriaceae
Description: bacterial SSU rRNA
Rfam family: Bacterial small subunit ribosomal RNA
Source: RNAcentral